This 304-nucleotide ribosomal RNA is filed under the name unidentified oil field bacterium DVIB33. RNAcentral's name for it is "bacterial SSU rRNA". It matches the Rfam family "Bacterial small subunit ribosomal RNA", at positions 362 to 658 of the family's 1533-position model. The record is from RNAcentral. Lineage: Bacteria; Deltaproteobacteria.
UAUUGCGCAAUGGGGGAAAGCCUGACGCAGCGACGCCGUGUGAGGGAAGAAGGCUUUCGGGUCGUAAACCUCUGUCGGGAAGGAAGAACCCCCCAAGUCCGAAUAGGGCUUGGGGCUGACGGUACUUCCAAAGGAAGCACCGGCUAACUCCGUGCCAGCAGCCGCGUAAUACGGAGGGUGCAAGCGUUAAUCGGAAUCACUGGGCGUAAAGCGNGCGUAGGCGGCUNNUNAAGUCAGGCGUGAAAGCCCUCGGCUCAACCGGGGAAUUGCGUUCGAAACUGGGAGGCUUGAGGCUUAGAGAGGG